UAAGGAAUAUUGGACAAUGGAGGCAACUCUGAUCCAGCCAUGCCGCGUGAAGGAAUAAGGCCCUAUGGGUUGUAAACUUCUUUUAGACGGGACAAAACCCCUUUACGUGUAAAGGGUUGAUGGUACUGUCAGAAUAAGCAUCGGCUAACUUCGUGCCAGCAGCCGCGGUAAUACGAAGGAUGCAAGCGUUAUCCGGAAUUAUUGGGUUUAAAGGGUGCGUAGGCGGACUAAUAAGUCAGUGGUGAAAGCCUGCAGCUUAACUGCAGAAUUGCCAUUGAUACUGUUAGUCUUGAGAACAGUUGAGGUAGGCGGAAUGUGUCAUGUAGCGGUGAAAUGCUUAGAUAUGACACAGAACACCGAUUGCGAAGGCAGCUUGCUAAGCUGUAACUGACGCUGAGGCACGAAAGCGUGGGGAGCAAACA
This 422-nucleotide ribosomal RNA is filed under the name uncultured bacterium. RNAcentral's name for it is "bacterial SSU rRNA". It matches the Rfam family "Bacterial small subunit ribosomal RNA", at positions 355 to 774 of the family's 1533-position model. The record is from RNAcentral.